GGGCCUAUAGCUCAGCUGGUUAGAGCGCACGCCUGAUAAGCGUGAGGUCGAUGGUUCGAGUCCAUUUAGACCCA
RNAcentral lists this transfer RNA (74 nucleotides) under Bacillus anthracis str. 'Ames Ancestor'. It matches the Rfam family "tRNA". From Rfam's summary of the family: Transfer RNA (tRNA) molecules are approximately 80 nucleotides in length. Their secondary structure includes four short double-helical elements and three loops (D, anti-codon, and T loops). The record is from Rfam by way of RNAcentral. Lineage: Bacteria; Bacillati; Bacillota; Bacilli; Caryophanales; Bacillaceae. RNAcentral also lists the same sequence under 1 other name.